CAGCCGCCGCGGGAAAACGGAGGGUGCAAGCGUUAAUCGGAAUUACUGGGCGUAAAGCGCACGCAGGCGGUCUGACAAGUCAGAUGUGAAAUCCCCGGGCUUAACCUGGGAACUGCAUUUGAAACUGUCAGGCUGGAGUCUUGUAGAGGGGGGUGGAAUUCCAGGUGUAGCGGUGAAAUGCGUAGAGAUCUGGAGGAAUACCGGUGGCGAAGGCGGCCCCCUGGACAAAGACUGACGCUCAGGUGCGAAAGCGUGGGGAGCAAACAGGAUUAGAUACCCCGGUAGUCCCUGUCUCUUAUAC
RNAcentral lists this ribosomal RNA (301 nucleotides) under uncultured bacterium. Its description in RNAcentral is "partial 16S ribosomal RNA". It matches the Rfam family "Bacterial small subunit ribosomal RNA", at positions 509 to 807 of the family's 1533-position model. The record is from RNAcentral.